Molecule: long non-coding RNA, 819 nt
Organism: Eriocheir sinensis (Chinese mitten crab)
Lineage: Eukaryota; Metazoa; Arthropoda; Malacostraca; Decapoda; Varunidae
Exons: 3
Source: RefSeq, a predicted model, not a curated record
GGAUAACAGAUGAAGAUGACUUGUACAGGGGAUGACCUAAUUUGCACCUCCCUAGUUACCAGUCCCUCGUGAUGACUCAGAGGAGGGAGUGACUCAGGGAACAGGUACUGGAGAAUGACAGAUGAAGAUGACUUGUACUGAGGAUGACCUAAUUUGAACCUCCUAUGAAUGGUCCUGGCUCCCUAGUUAUCAGUCACCUAGUCACCAGUCCCUCGUGAUGACUCAGAGGUGACUCAGAUAACAGGUGUGGGAGGAUGACAGAUGAAGAUGACUCAUACAAUUGAUGACCUAAUUUGAACCUCCUACGAAUGGUCCUGGCUCCCUAGUUACCAGUCACCAAGUCACCAGUCCCUCGUGAUGACUCAGAGGAGGGAGUGACUCAGGGAACAGGUACAGGAGAAUGACAGAUGAAGAUGACUCGUACAAUUGAUGACCUAAUUUGAACCUCCUACAAAUGGUCCUGGCUCCCUAGUUAUCAGUCACCUAGUCACCAGUCCCUCGUGAUGACUCAGAGGUGACUCAGAUAACAGGGAACAGGUACAGGAAAAUGACAGAUGAAGAUGACUCGUACAAUUGAUGACCUAAUUUGAACCUCCUACAAAUGGGCCUGGCUCCCUAGUUACCAGUCACCUCGUCACCAGUCCCUCGUGAUGACUCAAGGAGGGAGUGACUCAGAUAAGAAAAAAAACAGGGAAAAAACAGGUGCAGGAGAAUGACAAAUGGAGAUGCCUCGUACAAUUGAUGACCUAAUUUGCACCUCCUACGAAUGGGCCUGGCUCCCUAGUUACCAGUCACCUCGUCACCAGUCCCUCGUGAUGA